Molecule: long non-coding RNA, 1533 nt
Organism: Musa acuminata AAA Group (dessert banana)
Lineage: Eukaryota; Viridiplantae; Streptophyta; Magnoliopsida; Zingiberales; Musaceae
Exons: 2
Source: RefSeq, a predicted model, not a curated record
GAUUAACCUUAUCUUUGGAGACGAGGUCGAAGUUUCUGAGGCAGUAGGUUUGGCCAAACUGGAUUGAACUCCAAGGUUGAUGCAGCAAAGGCUUGCUGUGACUUCCUGCCAAACAUCGAUCGAGUCCACAGAUUUGAAGGUGGAAACUGUGGACUUGAAUCGGUCUGAGCUGAUAACUCCACUGUCACGUCGUGCAGAAGAAGAAGGUUUUUAUCUCUCUAGACACCGGCUGAUUCCAUCACAUGUACAGGCCAUCUGUCCGAUUCGAUUCAAGACUCCGUAGUCCCUUCAAUUAAUCUAGUCACAAAUGAAGUUGUCGAGAUGCAGUCACCUCUAUCACUUGCUCCUCUGGGAGGAAGCUUGCGUAAAACAAUGCAAGAAAGGGAUACAUGAGUGUGCAUCCAAGUGAAGAAUGAUGAUGGGUAUAUUCAUUGUUCUCCCUGUUGUAUCAAAAAAGAAAUCUUUCAAGGAGAUCGGCGUAAAGAACAUGUCAAGAGAAUCAUGAUGCGUAGAGGAAGCAAAGAAAGCCCGUUGCCUGAACCUUUUCUUUUCCCCUGCAUAGAAAUUGCAAUCGUUCAUGGAUGCUGACAACAAAGUCAUGGCCGCCAUUCAAGCGGCGCAGUCAGUCCACUGUGACAGGAGGAAGCUUCCAGGCAAAAGGUCAAGCUCACAUACGGCAAGCUUCGAGCCUCCUAUAAUUGACCGUAUGGGCUUCUCCUCUAAGCACGAGCAGGAGACAAGACCGUGCUAAGGCAGUUGAGCUCAGCCGACGCAUUUGAACUGCUGAUUCCUCCUGCUUUCUUCCAAGUCGUGUGGGAUUCCUGUGAUGAGAAACCGCAAUAGAAAGAACGGUUGAGAUUGGAGGAUAGGAUGAGCUUACAUGAUUGGACGGUUGUGAUCGAGAUGAGAUUGACAGAAUGAUGAUGGAUAGGAGAGAAUUACCAAUUUCCACAUCUUACCAAUAAUUGAAGCCUUUGUUUGCCCUCUUCCGGCACUCUCUCGUUAUCAGUGCUCCCCAACUCAGCAAGAAAGGAGGACAGAAGAAGAGCGGAUUGAAGAGAAAGAGAUCGAUCGGUUAGAUGGAGGGUCUGAUACCGUUGGUGAUGCGCGCGAUCAAGCGGAGCCGGGACCGGAGCUCCUACCGCCGCCUCGCCGUCGAGAGGUCGCCGCUGCUCGCGGCCGAGGAGUGGAAGCCGCGGGAUCGCGAUCGCGCCCCGUCCGAGUUCCCUCCGCUGCCGCCGCCGCCGCCGCUGCCCUCCGCGCGCUUCGGAUCCGGCUCCCGACCCUCCGGCCGGCACAUGGCGCCGUCGCGGAGCCUCCGAGGCGACGCCCUGGUAGAUUCGUUGAAUCGUCGAUGAGAGUCGGAAUCGGCAAUAUUUGCGUAGAAGAGAUGUUACUUCAACUGUACAAUUACGCGUUCCGUGUUGGAAAAUGGGUAGACAUUUCCCAUUAAACCAAUUUAAUGUUCCCAUCGAUCUGUACGUCUUCAAUGAUUGUGUUCUUUGCUGUAUCAGUAACAGAAACUUUUAUCUA